RNAcentral lists this non-coding RNA (32 nucleotides) under Mus musculus (house mouse). Lineage: Eukaryota; Metazoa; Chordata; Mammalia; Rodentia; Muridae. The record is from RNAcentral.
UAAAACAAUGUCAAAAUGUCUGACGUGCCUGG